GACGAACGCUGGCGGCGUGCUUAACACAUGCAAGUCGAACGGAAAGGCCCUGCUUUUGUGGGGUGCUCGAGUGGCGAACGGGUGAGUAACACGUGAGUAACCUGCCCUUGACUUUGGGAUAACUUCAGGAAACUGGGGCUAAUACCGGAUAGGAGCUCCUGCUGCAUGGUGGGGGUUGGAAAGUUUCGGCGGUUGGGGAUGGACUCGCGGCUUAUCAGCUUGUUGGUUGGGUAGUGGCUUACCAAGGCUUUGACCGGUAGCCGGCCUGGGAGGGUGACCGGGCACAUUGGGACUGAGAUACGGCCCAGACUCCUACGCGAGGCAGCAGUGGGGAAUAGUGCAUAAUGGGCGGAAGCCUGAUGCAGCAACGCCGCGUGCGGGAUGACGGCCUUCGGGUUGUAAACCGCUUUCGCCUGUGACGAAGCGUGAGUGACGGUAAUGGGUAAAGAAGCACCGGCUAACUACGUG
Molecule: ribosomal RNA, 468 nt
Filed under: uncultured bacterium
Lineage: Bacteria
Description: partial 16S ribosomal RNA
Rfam family: Bacterial small subunit ribosomal RNA
Source: RNAcentral